Long non-coding RNA from Meriones unguiculatus (Mongolian gerbil), 1571 nucleotides. RefSeq lists it as uncharacterized. NCBI's taxonomy places the organism in Eukaryota, Metazoa, Chordata, Mammalia, Rodentia, Muridae. The transcript has 5 exons. The record is from RefSeq and is a predicted model, not a curated record.
CUUUCAGAUGGGAAAAAUAAUAAUAAGCUGCCAGGCUCAGAGCUGGGCACAAGCCAGCAAAGCUCUGCAGCGCUCCUGAAGCACUCGACAGAGAAGAGACCAGGACCUGCUGUCAGUUUUCAGGACGAUAGGUUUCCUCCUUCUUCGAUGCAGUUCCGACCUUGAAUGUCAGGUGGUCUUUUGAUCAAUAACAAUGGCAGGAAUGAUGACAUGCAGUUUGGAGUCUAGGCCUACAAAAAUGAAGCAGUUCAGGACCCAGCAGGAUGCCUCGCUCCGUUGGAAGAACGAAGGCCCCCUAAGAAGGAUCCAACCUUCCCUGGUCUGCAGUCAUAAGCUCAGCCCACUACGCAGCCUCUGCUGACUGAAGAGACAGCAGGGAGCCCAGGACUGGGGAGCCUUCUUGACUUUAGGUUCUCCUUCUGCUACGAGGGCAGACAAAUAUAGAUGUCAUCCUGGAGAGAGUGGUCUGCAGACACAGAGAAAUGAGAAGCAGCUAAAAGAAAGCAGCCUCCUUUUGCCUCCCGAACUCCAUCUGCUUGUCAAGGACAUAAAGCUGUUUCACCAGCUGACAGGAGGAUGUUCGUCGCUCCUUUAGCUUGGAUGCUGAGUCUCAGUCCCUGGUGCCCAGCACCCCUGGGAUGCCAAGGAAGGAAUUGCUUCAUUGUGAACCAGUCAAGUAGAUAGACGGUGGAGACAUCUGCUCUGGAAGCACAUUUCUCACAGCGAACAACAUUUGCAUGCUCGUGCCUGCAGAUAUCGUCAAGGCCUUUGCGAAGUUAAACACUGCCUCUGCUUCUCUGGCUUCCCCCUUGGCCAGUACCUGGGUACUCCUUGGGUCAAGGAGUUCAGCUCAGGGAGUGUCCCUCUCCUCUUCUCUGCCCUCUGAGGGUAAGAUGUUCCCUUCAGAACCUCACAAACAAACCCAGGUUUUAAGCUGACUCUGAUCCAGUGGUCCCUGCAGUUUUCUGCUUCUCGUGAGCCUACACACAAGAUACAGUUCGCUGUAUAGAUAUAGUACUGUGCCCUUUGUGCAAGCCCCCCCCCUUCGUCUCGAUACUUCUGUAUUGUCUCCCUCAGAAGACAUACUUCUGGCCGAGUCAUCCGUGCCCAUGUGUUUAGAGGCACACAUGGCAAGGAACGCUAAGGCAUGUCUCUGUAGAAGGUUAGGAGCAUAAGGAGCUCACGUGCCUUCCUCUCCGGCAGACGUGGUUCUGGCAAAGAAGAGAGAUGAGUGGUAGAAAGGCUGUUCUGAGAAGGCACCACCCCAAAGCUGCAGAGCACCCACAGAGUAGGCUUCAAGAAGUUCACCCCCCAGAGACUCAGAGAAAUCCAGAAACUUUCAGCGGGACAAAUGGAGACCCCAGAUGUGCACCUUGAUGCCAAACUCAGCAGAGCAUUUGGAUCAAAGGAAUAAGGAAAGUUUCAUAGGACAUCCAAGCACACAUGUCGUGAAACCACAAGGAGGAUGCGGAUUCGCCAUAGGAGUUUUAUAUUUUGUCCUUGUUAACAUGUUAAAAGAAAAAUCUAGACAAUGUGGAUGAAAACUCACUGCUGAAUGUUAAAUAAAGUUA